Molecule: ribosomal RNA, 408 nt
Filed under: Heterosigma akashiwo
Lineage: Eukaryota; Raphidophyceae; Chattonellales; Chattonellaceae
Description: partial Bacterial small subunit ribosomal RNA
Rfam family: Bacterial small subunit ribosomal RNA
Source: RNAcentral
GAAACUCUGAUGCAGCCAUGCCGCGUGUGUGAAGAAGGCCUUCGGGUUGUAAAGCACUUUCAGUUGUGAGGAAAGGUUAGUAGUUAAUACCUGCUAGCUGUGACGUUAACAACAGAAGAAGCACCGGCUAACUCCGUGCCAGCAGCCGCGGUAAUACGGAGGGAGCUAGCGUUGUUCGGAAUUACUGGGCGUAAAGCGCACGUAGGCGGAUCAGAAAGUUGGGGGUGAAAUCCCGGGGCUCAACCCCGGAACUGCCUCCAAAACUCCUGGUCUUGAGUUCGAGAGAGGUGAGUGGAAUUCCGAGUGUAGAGGUGAAAUUCGUAGAUAUUCGGAAGAACACCAGUGGCGAAGGCGACUCGCUGGACAAGUAUUGACGCUGAGGUGCGAAAGCGUGGGGAGCAAACAGGA